CCAUGGAAGUCGGUAACACCCGAAGUCACUGGUCUAAUCUCACGCAAGUGAGAAAGAAGGUGCCUAAGGUGAGAUCGAUGACUGGGGCG
This 89-nucleotide ribosomal RNA is filed under the name uncultured bacterium. RNAcentral describes it as "partial 16S ribosomal RNA". The record is from RNAcentral.